Molecule: non-coding RNA, 237 nt
Filed under: Paenibacillus ferrarius
Lineage: Bacteria; Bacillati; Bacillota; Bacilli; Caryophanales; Paenibacillaceae
Description: T-box sequence
Rfam family: T-box leader
About the family: Uncharged tRNA acts as the effector for transcription antitermination of genes in the T-box leader family. T-boxes are found upstream of many aminoacyl-tRNA synthetase genes and some amino acid biosynthetic genes usually in Gram-positive bacteria. The anticodon of a specific tRNA base pairs to a specifier sequence within the T-box motif, and the NCCA acceptor tail of the tRNA base pairs to a conserved bulge in the T-box antiterminator hairpin.
Source: RNAcentral
CUUAAAGCUUAGAAGAGGAAUAGUAACUUGCAGAACAUCUUUCAGAGAAUCGGUUAAAGGGUGGAAGCCGGUAGAUGUUAGUCUUGUGAACUCGCCUUGGAGCUAGAAGGUGAACACCAGCAGGCUUGGUGCUAGCCGGAUCGUCUCACCCGCGUUAAGGGGCAGAGUGAACACAGGCAAAGAAUGUCUUGUGUUAACUAGGGUGGUACCACGGGAAUCUUACCUCUCGUCCCUAGC